This 477-nucleotide ribosomal RNA is filed under the name uncultured bacterium. RNAcentral describes it as "partial 16S ribosomal RNA". It matches the Rfam family "Bacterial small subunit ribosomal RNA", at positions 28 to 507 of the family's 1533-position model. The record is from RNAcentral.
GAUGAACGCUGGCGGCGUGCCUAAUACAUGCAAGUCGAGCGAACAGACGAGGAGCUUGCCUCUCUGACGUUAGCGGCGGACGGGUGAGUAACACGUGGAUAACCUACCUAUAAGACUGGGAUAACUUCGGGAAACCGGAGCUAAUACCGGAUAAUAUAUUGAACCGCAUGGUUCAAUAGUGAAAGACGGUUUUGCUGGCGCUUAUAGAUGCAUCCGGGCAGCAUUAGCUAGUUGGUAAGGUCACGGCUUACCAAGGCAACGAUGGGUAGCCGACCUGAGAGGGCGACCGGCCACACCGGGACUGAGACGCGGCCCAGACUCGGACGUGAGGCAGCAGGGGGGAAUAUUGCACAAUGGGCGAAAGCGUGAGGCAGCGACGCCGCGUGAGGGAUAACGGCUUUCGGGUUGGAAACCUAUUUCUGCAGGGAAGAAGCGAAAGUGACGGUACCUGCAGAAGAAGAACCGGCUAACUACGUG